UGGGGCGUGGCCAAGUGGUAAGGCAGCGGGUUUUGGUCCCGUUACUCGGAGGUUCGAAUCCUUCCGUCCC
RNAcentral lists this transfer RNA (70 nucleotides) under Secale cereale (rye). RNAcentral's name for it is "partial tRNA-Gln". It matches the Rfam family "tRNA". From Rfam's summary of the family: Transfer RNA (tRNA) molecules are approximately 80 nucleotides in length. Their secondary structure includes four short double-helical elements and three loops (D, anti-codon, and T loops). Further hydrogen bonds mediate the characteristic L-shaped molecular structure. tRNAs have two regions of fundamental functional importance: the anti-codon, which is responsible for specific mRNA codon recognition, and the 3' end, to which the tRNAs corresponding amino acid is attached (by aminoacyl-tRNA synthetases). tRNAs cope with the degeneracy of the genetic code in two manners: having more than one tRNA (with a specific anti-codon) for a particular amino acid; and 'wobble' base-pairing, i.e. permitting non-standard base-pairing at the 3rd anti-codon position. Lineage: Eukaryota; Viridiplantae; Streptophyta; Magnoliopsida; Poales; Poaceae. The record is from RNAcentral.